This 971-nucleotide ribosomal RNA is filed under the name Siafumimus sp. JP-2017. RNAcentral describes it as "eukaryotic LSU rRNA". It matches the Rfam family "Eukaryotic large subunit ribosomal RNA", at positions 81 to 814 of the family's 3401-position model. Lineage: Eukaryota; Metazoa; Arthropoda; Insecta; Coleoptera; Staphylinidae. The record is from RNAcentral.
UAGUAGCGRCGAGCGAAGAGGGAGAAGCCCAGCACUGAAUCGCGCGCCCACUGGGACGCUGCGAAAUGUAGUGUAUAGGAGGAUCCACUAUUCCGCGGUCUGACGAUAUGUCCAAGUCCUUCUUGAACGCGGCCACUUACCCAUAGAGGGUGCCAGGCCCGUAGUGACUGUCGCCGGCUGCGGAAGGGUCUCUCCUUAGAGUCGCGUUGCUUGAGAGUGCAGCGCUAAGUAGGUGGUAAACUCCAUCUAAGGCUAAAUAUGACCACGAGACCGAUAGCGAACAAGUACCGUGAGGGAAAGUUGAAAAGAACUUUGAAGAGAGAGUUCAAUAGUACGUGAAACCGUUUAAGGGUAAACCUGAGAAACCCGAAAGUUCGAACGGGGAGAUUCAGCGGGCCUCGCCGCGCGUGUGUUGCCCGAAUGCACGACAAUCUACGCGAUUGUCAGUUCUCGCAUCACCUCCGCGCGCCGAACGCGUGCAUUUCUCCCCCUGUAGGACGCCGUGACCCGUUGGGUGUCGGUCUGUGGCUCACAAUGGAGCCUGUUCGUCGGCUUCGGUCGUGCGUUCAGACUUGUGACGUCCCGUCCGGCUGCCCGACGGUGUAAUGUUGGCGCAGAGCCGCGACCUAGUCGCGUUCGUGCCGUCGCAAGCGCAGGCGGUUACUCGAUCGUCGGACAUGUGCCGACCUCGGGGCCGGUUGGCUGUUCGCGGCGGUGUUCUCGGACAGACUCUGAUCACGCCUGUUAGCGGCGCUAUAGCUUUGGGUACUUUCAGGGCCCGUCUUGAAACACGGACCAAGGAGUUUAGCAUGUGCGCGAGUCAUGGGGACUAUCGAAUCCUAAAGGCGAAAUGAAAGUGAAAGCUGAGCUUACUCUGUCGAGGGAAGAUGGGUGACUUUUGUCGCCUCGCACUCCCGGGGCGUCUCGUUCUCAUUGCGAGUUGAGGCGCACCUAGAGCGUACAUGCUAUGA